CAGAGGCUAGACAGUUCUCUCUGUGUAACCUCUCUGCUCCCCAGAUGCCGUUUGCACUGAGAAAGCCAAAGGCUGGAGGUUGGAGCACAGUAGGAUGCUGAACUUGGGCCCCAACUCUGCAGCAGCCCAGCCUUCACCUGGACAAAUGGAGAAAUGGAAGCGUUCUGGGAGGCAUGCAUGUUCCUGUGUAUCCACUAUACUUCUCUCUCGAUGCACAUCUUUCUUCAGGCCAGAUCUUUGAGGAAUUGCUACACUGUCUUCCACAAUGACUGAACUAACAUGUACUUCCAGCAACAGCGUAAAGCGUUUCCUAUUACUCCACAUUUUCUCCAGCAUCUGUUGUCUCCUGA
RNAcentral lists this long non-coding RNA (350 nucleotides) under Callithrix jacchus (white-tufted-ear marmoset). Its description in RNAcentral is "lncRNA (ENSCJAG00000086085.1)". The record is from RNAcentral. Lineage: Eukaryota; Metazoa; Chordata; Mammalia; Primates; Cebidae.